UGGGGAAUUUUGGACAAUGGGCGAAAGCCUGAUCCAGCAAUGCCGCGUGUGUGAAGAAGGCCUUCGGGUUGUAAAGCACUUUUGUCCGGAAAGAAAUCCUUGGCUCUAAUACAGUCGGGGGAUGACGGUACCGGAAGAAUAAGCACCGGCUAACUACGUGCCAGCAGCCGCGGUAAUACGUAGGGUGCAAGCGUUAAUCGGAAUUACUGGGCGUAAAGCGUGCGCAGGCGGUUUGCUAAGACCGAUGUGAAAUCCCCGGGCUCAACCUGGGAACUGCAUUGGUGACUGGCAGGCUAGAGUAUGGCAGAGGGGGUAGAAUUCCACGUGUAGCAGUGAAAUGCGUAGAGAUGUGGAGGAAUACCGAUGGCGAAGGCAGCCCCCUGGGCCAAUACUGACGCUCAUGCACGAAAGCGUGGGGAGCAAACAGGAUUAGAUACCCUGGUAGUCCACGCCCUAAACGAUGUCAACUAGUUGUUGGGGAUUCAUUUCCUUAGUAACGUAGCUAACGCGUGAAGUUGACCGCCUGGGGAGUACGGUCGCAAGAUUAAAACUCAAAUGAAUUGAC
Molecule: ribosomal RNA, 565 nt
Filed under: uncultured bacterium
Lineage: Bacteria
Description: partial 16S ribosomal RNA
Rfam family: Bacterial small subunit ribosomal RNA
Source: RNAcentral